AACACAUGCGGAAAGGUGAAACUGAAGACUUUGCUGUCUGGGCGACGGGAUGAAAAUGAAGUCCUAGCACUUGCGAGGAGACGAUUUCCCGUGUCAAUCAAAGACAUUACCAGUGUGUGCACCUCAGAUUUAUUAGAAGAAUCUUCAAUGGUUAUGCCGUGGUUGACAGAUGAUGCUGUCAACUACCGAGUAGCACAACUGGCGGCCCAAGACAAUACGGUGAAUUGAAAAGUCAUUUCGUAAAUGAAAAAAUAAGUUGGCAUUGUUAAAGAUAAUAUGUGCUAUAAUUUUGCAGUGUACUUCCCUGGGUACAUAUGACUUCAUUUUAUGGCACCGUGAGUGGACCAAAGAUGGAACUGUCCGAGAUCAGAUUGUGAAGCAGAUACCACAAUGUGGAAAAAUAUACCUUCCGAGGAUUGUGGGUCAUUCUUCUCCUGAGACUGGGAAUCAUUUCAUUCUCUGGGUCUUUGACUUCAGCUGCAAAGAGAUCCGGAUAUAUGACUCCCUUUCACUUUACAAAAACAUAAGUGAUGACGACAUGGCUUUACUCAGAAAUGUGUUCAGAUCUUCUGGUGGUCUUCAAGGUUGGACAGUAACAUUUCCUCCACAGUGGAAGCAACAGGAUUCUAUCAAUUGUGGAGUUUUUGUGUGUUCAGCUGUUGAAAAUGAAGUUCAACGUCACAAGGUCAGUGCAGAGCCUCUGACACUUAGUCAAUGCCGGACCCUUCGUCUACAUCAUGCCAGUGAAAUGUUGAAAAAUGUUGAUCCAAAGGAUUUCCCCCCAACUUUAAAAGAAGCAAUUGUAAUGGAAAAAAAGGAAAGUAAACUUCAAGAAACAGAGCAGAGAGACACGGAUUCAAGUAUGCAUUGUUUGGCCUGGAAGAUCAGGACAUGUUUGUUUCAGCGAGCAACAGGGAAAACAUUGUAUGUGUUGCACGAAUUCAGUCUUACAGUACAUUCAACUCUGCAAAAUACUUUUCCACGGACACAUUAAGAAGUACCGUUGGGUACAAUGCACAACCUGUAAGAACUGGUUGCAUUUUCAGUGUGCUGGUUUGCCAGAAGACUGGAAUGAGGUGGACUUCUUUUGUGGAUGCAGUGCAAACCCUGAUAUUGACAAGAUUCUGCAGUCUACUAAAGCUGAAGACAUUCUUACAGAUUCAGAGAUCAAGGAUCUGGAAAAGAAAUUGCAGACCGGGGAUAUUCUGUCAAACAGGAUGUAUAUGUGGAAACACAAAGGAUUUGAUCUACUCCUCCGCAAAUUCUACAGUGACCAUGACACCAUAUUUAAUGAUGUGAUGACAGACAUCCUCAUCAUGCGACUUGAAGACAUCUUUUGCGUUCCUGGCAAUGAAACUGCUGACCAACACAUGAUCACAGAAGUGAUUCUGCCAGA
Poecilia latipinna (sailfin molly) is the source of this 1396-nucleotide long non-coding RNA. RefSeq lists it as uncharacterized. The record is from RefSeq and is a predicted model, not a curated record. The transcript is spliced from 11 exons. Lineage: Eukaryota; Metazoa; Chordata; Actinopteri; Cyprinodontiformes; Poeciliidae.